Molecule: non-coding RNA, 135 nt
Organism: Triticum aestivum (bread wheat)
Lineage: Eukaryota; Viridiplantae; Streptophyta; Magnoliopsida; Poales; Poaceae
Source: Rfam
AAAGUACUCCCUCCGUCCCAAAAUUCUUGUCUUAGAUUUGUCUAGAGACGGAUGUAUCAAGUCACAUUUUAGUAUUAGAUACAUCCGUAUCUAGACAAAUCUAAGACAAGAAAUUUGGGACAGAGGGUGCAGUUG